This 449-nucleotide ribosomal RNA is filed under the name uncultured bacterium. Its description in RNAcentral is "partial 16S ribosomal RNA". It matches the Rfam family "Bacterial small subunit ribosomal RNA", at positions 29 to 523 of the family's 1533-position model. The record is from RNAcentral.
AACGAACGCUGGCGGCAUGCCUAACACAUGCAAGUCGAACGAGAUCUUCGGGUCUAGUGGCGCACGGGUGCGUAACGCGUGGGAAUCUGCCCUUUGGUUCGGAAUAACAGUUGGAAACGACUGCUAAUACCGGAUGAUGACGAAAGUCCAAAGAUUUAUCGCCAGAGGAUGAGCCCGCGUAGGAUUAGCUAGUUGGUGUGGUAAAGGCGCACCAAGGCGACGAUCCUUAGCUGGUCUGAGAGGAUGAUCAGCCACACUGGGACUGAGACACGGCCCAGACUCCUACGGGAGGCAGCAGUGGGGAAUAUUGGACAAUGGGCGAAAGCCUGAUCCAGCAAUGCCGCGUAAGCGAUGAAGGCCUUAGGGUUGUAAAGCUCUUUUACCCGGGAUGAUAAUGACAGUACCGGGAGAAUAAGCUCCGGCUAACUCCGUGCCAGCCGCCGCAGUAA